RNAcentral lists this unclassified non-coding RNA (365 nucleotides) under Hevea brasiliensis (rubber tree). The record is from RNAcentral. Lineage: Eukaryota; Viridiplantae; Streptophyta; Magnoliopsida; Malpighiales; Euphorbiaceae.
ACAUAUCCCGUGAUGAAGAAGAACUCAUUAUUAGGCUCCAUAAGCUUCUUGGUAACAGAUGGUCUCUAAUAGCUGGAAGGCUACCUGGGCGAACAGACAAUGAAAUCAAGAACUAUUGGAACACUACUCUGGGAAAGAAAGCUAAUGCUCAAUCAACUUCACCACAAUCCAAGCACACUACUGCUACCAACUCUAGACAGAAAAAGCUAGCCACUGAAUCCUCAAACUCACCACUCCCAGCCAAAGUCAUCCGCACUAAGGCCACUAGGUGCACCAAAGUCUUUAUCCCAUUACAGUCUCCCCAUCCGCCCCCUGAAUUUCACUCCUUCAACCCAACAGCCAGUGACCCCCCAGCUCAAACUUCC